CAGCUGGUGGAGACUCUAGGGAGGCCGAUGCAGAAGUGAUGGGGGUCACAUGGAGCACGGAUAAGUUGGGGGUUCAGAUGACAGCAUCCCAAUUGAAAGUACCCAGUUGAAGUUGACGUCCCAGGCAUGUGUGGGUGUGGACCAGUAUGGGCAUCAGACAGAUGAGGCCAAGGAGGUACCGAGAGGAUAAAUAAUUUGUCCAGGAUCACACAUGCUUGAGUCAGGGUGGGAACUAAGUCUGUUGCUCUUAACUGUUUACCUGUCUGGUAUACAGUCAGCAAAGGGAAGAAUGACGAAGAGGACAAGAAACCGAUUUCUAUUUGUUCUGCUCAGGGGUCAGCAUUCCAUAUCCACAUGCACUGUGCUGCGUGUGUGCUGCAUGUGUGUAUGUGUGUGUGUGUGUGUAUGUGUGCACACACGAUCAGGAAAUGUUCACAUUAAAAAACCAGAUCC
This is a long non-coding RNA of Myotis brandtii (Brandt's bat), 453 nucleotides long. RefSeq lists it as uncharacterized. The transcript has 2 exons. The record is from RefSeq and is a predicted model, not a curated record. NCBI's taxonomy places the organism in Eukaryota, Metazoa, Chordata, Mammalia, Chiroptera, Vespertilionidae.